Molecule: ribosomal RNA, 336 nt
Filed under: Quamtana sp. DNA100446427
Lineage: Eukaryota; Metazoa; Arthropoda; Arachnida; Araneae; Pholcidae
Description: bacterial SSU rRNA
Rfam family: Eukaryotic small subunit ribosomal RNA
Source: RNAcentral
UUAGAUGUCCGGGGCUGCACGCGCGCUACACUGAAGGAACCAGCGUGUGCUCUCCCUUUCCGGCAGGAAUGGGUAACCCGUUGAAACUCCUUCGUGAUAGGGAUAGGGGCUUGUAAUUGUUCCCCUUGAACGAGGAAUCCCCAGUAAGCACGAGUCAUAAACUCGUGUUGAUUACGUCCCUGCCCCUUGUGCACACCGCCCGUCGCUACUACCGAUUGAAUGAUUUAGUGAGGUCUUCGGACUGGCUCUCGGAGCGGCCUCCGGGCCGGGCCGAGCUGCCGGAAAGAUGCCCGAACUUGACCAUUUAGAGGAAGUAAAAGUCGUAACAAGGUUACC